Molecule: ribosomal RNA, 497 nt
Filed under: uncultured bacterium
Lineage: Bacteria
Description: partial 16S ribosomal RNA
Rfam family: Bacterial small subunit ribosomal RNA
Source: RNAcentral
GAUGAACGCUGGCGGCGUGCCUAAUACAUGCAAGUCGAGCGAACGGACGAGAAGCUUGCUUCUCUGAUGUUAGCGGCGGACGGGUGAGUAACACGUGGAUAACCUACCUAUAAGACUGGGAUAACUUCGGGAAACCGGAGCUAAUACCGGAUGAUAUUUUGAACCGCAUGGUUCAAAAGUGAAAGACGGUCUUGCUGUCACUUAUAGAUGGAUCCGCGCUGCAUUAGCUAGUUGGUAAGGUAACGGCUUACCAAGGCAACGAUGCAUAGCCGACCUGAGAGGGUGAUCGGCCACACCGGAACUGAGACACGGUCCAGACUCCUACGGGAGGCAGCAGUGGGGAAUCUUCCGCAAUGGGCGAAAGCCUGACGGAGCAACGCCGCGUGAGUGAUGAAGGUCUUCGGAUCGUAAAACUCUGUUAUUAGGGAAGAACAUAUGUGUAAGUAACUGUGCACAUCUUGACGGUACCUAAUCAGAAAGCCACGGCUAACUACGUG